Molecule: long non-coding RNA, 143 nt
Filed under: Fukomys damarensis (Damara mole-rat)
Lineage: Eukaryota; Metazoa; Chordata; Mammalia; Rodentia; Bathyergidae
Description: lncRNA (ENSFDAG00000030386.1)
Source: RNAcentral
CUUGGCCAUAGGACUCUUUAGGGGAUGGGUGAACUACUCAAGAAGAGAAUGCCUGGCAAGAUCUGGCCAGAGAUAUUUCCCUAUACAUGGAAAAGAAGAAGGCUCGAUCCCUGAAGACACAUAAACAUAAAGAAGAAUCAGAA